RNAcentral lists this ribosomal RNA (500 nucleotides) under uncultured bacterium. RNAcentral describes it as "bacterial SSU rRNA". It matches the Rfam family "Bacterial small subunit ribosomal RNA", at positions 28 to 507 of the family's 1533-position model. The record is from RNAcentral.
GAUGAACGCUAGCUACAGGCUUAACACAUGCAAGUCGAGGGGAAACGACAUCGAAAGCUUGCUUUUGAUGGGCGUCGACCGGCGCACGGGUGAGUAACGCGUAUCCAACCUGCCCACCACUUGGGAAUAACCUUGCGAAAGUAAGACUAAUACCCAAUGAUAUCCCACGAAGGCAUCCGAAUGGGAUUAAAGAUUUAUCGGUGAUGGAUGGGGAUGCGUCUGAUUAGCUUGUUGGCGGGGUAACGGCCCACCAAGGCUACGAUCAGUAGGGGGUUCUGAGAGGAAGGUCCCCCCACAUUGGAACUGAGACACGGUCCAAACUCCUACGGGAGGCAGCAGUGAGGAAUAUUGGUCAAUGGGCGGAAGCCUGAACCAGCCAAGUAGCGUGAGGGAAGACUGCCCCUACGGGGUUGUAAAACCCUCUUUUUGUUUGGGGAAUAAAGUGCGGGACNCGUCCCGCAUUGCAUGUACCAUUUGAAUAAGGACCGGCUAAUUCCGUG